This is a long non-coding RNA of Alexandromys fortis (reed vole), 240 nucleotides long. RefSeq lists it as uncharacterized. The transcript has 3 exons. Lineage: Eukaryota; Metazoa; Chordata; Mammalia; Rodentia; Cricetidae. The record is from RefSeq and is a predicted model, not a curated record.
CUGGGAAUUGAACCCAGGUCCCCUGGAAGAGCAGUCUGUGCUCCUAACUGCUGAGCCAUCUCACCAGCCUCUCUUUUUACUGGUUUUUAAAAGAGUGGAACUGGUAGAGUGGGAUGCUAUGGAACCGAAGCCAGUGUCCCUUAAAGGGCCGUGCUGACCUGUGACCACACAGCAAGUGUCAGCCCCCGACUCAGCUGUGGGGUCAGCACGUCAGAGCUGAGGUCCAGUCUUCAUACUGCG